RNAcentral lists this long non-coding RNA (469 nucleotides) under Mytilus galloprovincialis (Mediterranean mussel). The record is from RNAcentral. Lineage: Eukaryota; Metazoa; Mollusca; Bivalvia; Mytilida; Mytilidae.
UUUUUACUAAUUUAUAUUGGAUAUUCACAAAGAGGUCAGAUAAGGCAUGCACAUGUUUACAAAAUUAAGAUAUCAGUAUCAAAAUUUCUGUUACUUACACGUUUGCCUAAGUAACUUUUAAAAACAGAGAUUACUCAUAUAUAUAUAAUUUACUACAAAGUUUUUUUUUGGAAAAGAUCAAAAUUGUAGAUUUCGAAAACACUGGAACUAGAUAUAAGAAAAACAUAAUGGGCAAUUAGACUGGAAGGAAUGUGUGAAACGGCAAGAGAGGACAUGUAAGGGUUUGCAAUGCCAAGCAGAUACACACAGAACAGUCAUAGACAUUUGAGCUGGCAAUCACUCUUUUGAUGCAAGCAUACGAAGAUGUUGGGUCUUGAAUUGGUUUUCCUUUCGCUCAAUUCGAAACAGUUGAAUGAGGGCUAUGGAACUGCAGAAGCACUCCAGAAUCACAAGGCAAAAUGGCACAAAU